GACGAACGCUGGCGGCGUGCUUAACACAUGCAAGUCGAACGGAAAGGCUCCAGCUUGCUGGAGUGCUCGAGUGGCGAACGGGUGAGUAACACGUGGGCAAUCUGCCCUGCACUCUGGGAUAAGCCUGGGAAACUGGGUCUAAUACCGGAUAGGACCUUUCUCCUCAUGGGGUUUGGUGGAAAGUUUUUCGGUGCAGGAUGAGCCCGCGGCCUAUCAGCUUGUUGGUGGGGUAAUGGCCUACCAAGGCGACGACGGGUGGCCGGCCUGAGAGGGGGAUCGGCCACAUUGGGACUGAGAUACGGCCCAGACUCCUACGGGAGGCAGCAGUGGGGAAUAUUGCACAAUGGGCGAAAGCCUGAUGCAGCGACGCCGCGUGAGGGAUGACGGCCUUCGGGUUGUAAACCUCUUUCAGUAGGGACGAAGCGCAAGUGACGGUACCUGCAGAAGAAGCACCGGCUAACUACGUG
Molecule: ribosomal RNA, 467 nt
Filed under: uncultured bacterium
Lineage: Bacteria
Description: partial 16S ribosomal RNA
Rfam family: Bacterial small subunit ribosomal RNA
Source: RNAcentral